CGCAUCUGUGCAUGCAGCAUAUCAAUAAGCGGAGGAAAAGAAACUAACAAGGAUUCCCCUAGUAACGGCGAGUGAAGCGGGAAGAGCUCAAAUUUGAAAUCUUAAAGGGUUUCCCUUUACGAAUUGUAGUUUAAAGAGGUGUUUUCUGUUGAGGUUUUGGUAAAAGUUCUUUGGAAUAGGACAUCAUAGAGGGUGAGAAUCCCGUAUUUGACCUUUACUUUCAACUUUGUGAUACACUUUCAAAGAGUCGGAUUGUUUGGGAAUGCAGUCCAAAAUGGGUGGUAAAUUUCAUCUAAAGCUAAAUAUUGGCGAGAGACCGAUAGCGAACAAGUACCGUGAGGGAAAGAUGAAAAGAACUUUGAAAAGAGAGUUAAACAGUACGUGAAAUUGUCAAAAGGGAAGCGUUUGACACCAGUGUUGUUUUUCUGAAAAUCAAUUAAAGAACUGUUUAUGCUAAGUUGUUUAGACUUUAUCAGCUAUCUGUUUAGUUUUGAGCUUUUCUUUAAUGCACUUUUCAGUUAACAAGUCAACAUCAAUUUCUUUUGCUGUAAAAAAGCUUGAGGAAGGUGGCUUGAGAUUCGUCUUAAGUGUUUAUAGCCUCUUGCCUAUGCAGUCGGAGAGAUUGAGGUCUGCAGCGUAGAUCCUUCGGGGCUAAAUGCAUUUGUGCUAAGUUAUAGCAUUUUAUAGACAACUUGUUGACUAUGAUUUGUCUUGUAGCUUACUCGCUUAUGUUAUUUUACCUACGCUUAGGAUGUUGAACGCGCACAGAGUCUC
This 774-nucleotide ribosomal RNA is filed under the name uncultured Neocallimastigales. RNAcentral's name for it is "partial large subunit ribosomal RNA". It matches the Rfam family "Eukaryotic large subunit ribosomal RNA", at positions 26 to 633 of the family's 3401-position model. The record is from RNAcentral. Lineage: Eukaryota; Fungi; Neocallimastigomycota; Neocallimastigomycetes; Neocallimastigales.